Long non-coding RNA from Triplophysa dalaica, 660 nucleotides. RefSeq lists it as uncharacterized. Lineage: Eukaryota; Metazoa; Chordata; Actinopteri; Cypriniformes; Nemacheilidae. The record is from RefSeq and is a predicted model, not a curated record. The transcript is spliced from 2 exons.
UUGAAGAUCUCAACACGAGGAAACUAAAGGAAUGAAGAAACAAAUAAUGAAAGAGUUUCUCUUUUAAAAUGUGUAACUGUUAAAUAAUACAUUUCAUGAUUUUCAAAUAUUUUUUAUUUUAACAAGCUAACCACAACCUAUAGGCUAAACACAGUUUCAAAGCCUUUAAGUUAUUGUUUAGUUACUUUUUAUCGUCAAGUUGACAUGGGAGGAUCUACUACUGACAGACGUCACGGCCUCUUGAGGACUGAAAUCUCUGCCUUCUCAAUGCGGGACAUUUUCUCAAUAUGCGACGUGCGGGACAAGCGUUUUGUCCAACUUUCAGAUUAGAUCACCCAAAGGGUCGCCAUCUUUCAUCCCCUCCAACCUUGAACUUCCUCUGAAGAAUCCACAUCAUCGCGAGAACUUUCGGUACCGAGGGUGACGAUUCUGAUUGGCUACCGAAGAUACAAAUGCCGCGCAGACCGAUCAUGCGCUGAGGGAUUUUGACGUCAUACGCAGACAGGUUUGCGCAUCGCCGCAUGCGGCCCAACAAGUGAAGCAUUAAUUACUAGUUCUUGCUUAAAAUGUAAUUCUUUAAACGAUAGCGUGGUUGUGUCUCAGAGUAACAACAAUUUUUGUUUUGUGCAAUGUAAGUUACAUUAAACUUGAAGGAAAUUG